RNAcentral lists this unclassified non-coding RNA (328 nucleotides) under Hevea brasiliensis (rubber tree). Lineage: Eukaryota; Viridiplantae; Streptophyta; Magnoliopsida; Malpighiales; Euphorbiaceae. The record is from RNAcentral.
UUGAAUUAGAAGAAGUAGAGUUGUCCAAAGGAAAACAUGAGGAUGGUCCUGAUGCUUCUGAUACUGACUCUGAACUCUUUUUCAAUCUUGCGACUGACAAUGCUAAACAAAAUGGUGUUGAUGAUGAGAUGUAUGGUGAGUUUUUUAAAGAACCAAAUGAUGCCAAAGGUGUAUCUUCUGUUAAGAGUGGUUGUAAUGAUGAUAGAGCUAGCAGUAUGAAUGAUGCAAGUCUUCACUCUGCUCUCGAGUUUGGUGUCAAGUCUAGUACCGUGUCUGCCCCAGUGUCAGAAAGCAUGCAUGCAAGAUCUGAUCUAGGAUCUCCAAGGCG